RNAcentral lists this ribosomal RNA (684 nucleotides) under Bdellovibrio sp. Annapolis. RNAcentral describes it as "bacterial SSU rRNA". It matches the Rfam family "Bacterial small subunit ribosomal RNA", at positions 107 to 768 of the family's 1533-position model. Lineage: Bacteria; Pseudomonadati; Bdellovibrionota; Bdellovibrionia; Bdellovibrionales; Pseudobdellovibrionaceae. The record is from RNAcentral.
UGAGUAACACGUAGGUGACCUGCCUAUUAGCGGGGGAUAACACGAAGAAAUUCGUGCUAAUACCGCAUACGCAAAGUGAAUUUGGAAGUAACUUUGGAAAGAAUGCCUCUCCUUGGAAGCAUUUACUAAUAGAUGGGCCUGCGUAGCAUUAGCUUGAUGGUGGGGUAACGGCCUACCAUGGCGACGAUGCUUAACUGGUCUGAGAGGAUGAUCAGUCACACUGGAACUGAGACACGGUCCAGACUCCUACGGGAGGCAGCAGUGGGGAAUAUUGCGCAAUGGGCGAAAGCCUGACGCAGCAAUGCCGCGUGAGUGAGGAAGGCCUUCGGGUUGUAAAGCUCUGUCAUAUGGAAAGAAUGGUCAUCGUUCUAACAGGACGGUGAUUUGACGGUACCAUAAAAGGAAGCACCGGCUAACUUCGUGCCAGCAGCCGCGGUAAUACGAAGGGUGCAAGCGUUGUUCGGAUUUAUUGGGCGUAAAGCGCGCGCAGGCGGAUUAUUAAGCCAGAUGUGAAAUCUCGGGGCUCAACCCCGAAACUGCGUCUGGAACUGGUAAUCUAGAAUCUUGGAGGGGGAAGCGGAAUUUCGCAUGUAGGGGUAAAAUCCGUAGAGAUGCGAAGGAACACCAUAGCCGAAGGGGGCUUCCUGGCCAAGUAUUGACGCUGAGGCGCGAAAGCGUGGGGAG